Molecule: ribosomal RNA, 429 nt
Filed under: Gemmatimonadota bacterium
Lineage: Bacteria; Pseudomonadati; Gemmatimonadota
Description: Gemmatimonadetes bacterium partial 16S ribosomal RNA
Rfam family: Bacterial small subunit ribosomal RNA
Source: RNAcentral
UAGGGAAUCUUCGGCAAUGGACGAAAGUCUGACCGAGCAACGCCGCGUGAGUGAAGAAGGUUUUCGGAUCGUAAAACUCUGUUGUUAGAGAAGAACAAGGACGUUAGUAACUGAACGUCCCCUGACGGUAUCUAACCAGAAAGCCAAGGCUAACUACGUGCCAGCAGCCGCGGUAAUACGUAGGUGGCAAGCGUUGUCCGGAUUUAUUGGGCGUAAAGCGAGCGCAGGCGGUUUCUUAAGUCUGAUGUGAAAGCCCCCGGCUCAACCGGGGAGGGUCAGUGGAAACUGGGAGACUUGAGUGCAGAAGAGGAGAGUGGAAUUCCAUGUGUAGCGGUGAAAUGCGUAGAUAUAUGGAGGAACACCAGUGGCGAAGGCGGCUCUCUGGUCUGUAACUGACGCUGAGGCUCGAAAGCGUGGGGAGCAAACAGG